Molecule: long non-coding RNA, 628 nt
Organism: Rhipicephalus microplus (southern cattle tick)
Lineage: Eukaryota; Metazoa; Arthropoda; Arachnida; Ixodida; Ixodidae
Gene: Usp32
Source: RefSeq, a predicted model, not a curated record
AGGAGUUUAUUUAAAGAGGCAGUAUGCCUUUUGCUGAUGCCUGUGGCAUAUGGGAAGCCAGCGCUGCCCAGGUGGAGCGCCUAAAAUUUACGCGACGUGGCGCCCUGGUGAACUGGCUGAGAGCCAGCUAGCAGGACAGACCCUCCGCGAGGUGUACUGUGGGCACAUUUUAGCUUUUGAACUCGCCGCUUGCGCUGCAACGCAUCAUGAACGUCAUGCGACACUACCCCCGGUUUUGCCCAAUGUGCGUCGUGCUGUAGCAGGUAAUCUGGAACGCGCAAGACCAGCGAAGAUUUAGACACUGUUCAAAACAGGGAUGCAGCGGGUGAGCAGCGAUGCCAGCAACUAUUCUCCCCUACAGUUUCAGCGAUGUGGUGUGCGCACCUUCACGAGACUGUUGUUGAAAGGAGGGACGCUGUUUGAUAUCAAGUACGUCUAUGACGCGGAAGAAACAUUGUGACCUUUCAACGUUGUGCCAAGCAUUCUACGGCGUGAAUUCACGGAGCACCAACCCAUGUCCAUUGGUGGAAAACGACGCCAGAGGGAGUUGAACUAUACAUGCUCUGGACUAUUUUUUUCCUGUUAUUAAAACCUUUUUGUGGUUGUGGCAUUUGUGAAUACAACAAUA